Molecule: transfer RNA, 76 nt
Filed under: Candidatus Vogelbacteria bacterium RIFOXYD1_FULL_51_18
Lineage: Bacteria; Candidatus Vogeliibacteriota
Also listed under: 1 other name
Description: tRNA-Phe
Rfam family: tRNA
About the family: Transfer RNA (tRNA) molecules are approximately 80 nucleotides in length. Their secondary structure includes four short double-helical elements and three loops (D, anti-codon, and T loops).
Source: RNAcentral
GUCGAGAUAGCUCAGUUGGUAGAGCAUUCGCCUGAAGAGCGAAGGGUCGCCGGUUCGAGCCCGGCUCUCGACACAA